Molecule: ribosomal RNA, 194 nt
Filed under: Leopardus geoffroyi (Geoffroy's cat)
Lineage: Eukaryota; Metazoa; Chordata; Mammalia; Carnivora; Felidae
Description: partial 16S ribosomal RNA
Source: RNAcentral
GCUUUAAUUAACCGACCCAAAGAGACCCCACUAACCAACCGACAGGAACAACAAAUCUCUACAUGGGCCGACAAUUUAGGUUGGGGUGACCUCGGAGAAUAAAAUAACCUCCGAAUGAUUUAAAUCUAGACUAACCAGUCAAAAGUAUUACAUCACUUAUUGAUCCAAAAACUUGAUCAACGGAACAAGUUACC